UACGAAGGGGGCUAGCGUUGUUCGGAUUUACUGGGCGUAAAAGGGCGCGUAGGCGGCCACCGCAAGUCGGUUGUGAAAUCUCCGGGCUUAACUCGGAACGGUCAAGUGAUACUGUCGGACUAGAGUACAGAAGGGGCAACUGGAAUUCUCGGUGUAGCGGUGAAAUGCGUAGAUAUCGGGAGGAACACCAGUGGCGAAGGCGGCCCCCUGGGCCGCUCCUGACGCUGAGACGCGAAGGCCAGGGUAGCGAACGGG
Molecule: ribosomal RNA, 255 nt
Filed under: uncultured bacterium
Lineage: Bacteria
Description: partial 16S ribosomal RNA
Rfam family: Bacterial small subunit ribosomal RNA
Source: RNAcentral